Molecule: ribosomal RNA, 567 nt
Filed under: uncultured bacterium
Lineage: Bacteria
Description: partial 16S ribosomal RNA
Rfam family: Bacterial small subunit ribosomal RNA
Source: RNAcentral
UGGGGAAUUUUGGACAAUGGGCGCAAGCCUGAUCCAGCCAUUCCGCGUGCAGGAUGAAGGCCCUCGGGUUGUAAACUGCUUUUGUACGGAACGAAAAGGCUUUCUUUAAUACAGAGAGCUCAUGACGGUACCGUAAGAAUAAGCACCGGCUAACUACGUGCCAGCAGCCGCGGUAAUACGUAGGGUGCAAGCGUUAAUCGGAAUUACUGGGCGUAAAGCGUGCGCAGGCGGUGAUGUAAGACAGAUGUGAAAUCCCCGGGCUCAACCUGGGAACUGCAUUUGUGACUGCAUCGCUGGAGUGCGGCAGAGGGGGGAUGGAAUUCCGCGUGUAGCAGUGAAAUGCGUAGAUAUGCGGAGGAACACCGAUGGCGAAGGCAAUCCCCUGGGCCUGCACUGACGCUCAUGCACGAAAGCGUGGGGAGCAAACAGGAUUAGAUACCCUGGUAGUCCACGCCCUAAACGAUGUCAACUGGUUGUUGGGUCUUCACUGACUCAGUAACGAAGCUAACGCGUGAAGUUGACCGCCUGGGGAGUACGGCCGCAAGGUUGAAACUCAAAUGAAUUGAC